CCUACGGGUGGCAGCAGUGAGGAAUAUUGGUCAAUGGACGAGAGUCUGAACCAGCCAAGCCGCGUGAAGGAAGACUGCCCUAUGGGUUGUAAACUUCUUUUAUAUGGGAAUAAAAUGUUACACGUGUGGGAUUUUGUAUGUCCCAUAUGAAUAAGGAUCGGCUAACUCCGUGCCAGCAGCCGCGGUAAUACGGAGGAUCCGAGCGUUAUCCGGAUUUAUUGGGUUUAAAGGGAGCGUAGGUGGAUUGUUAAGUCAGUUGUGAAAGUUUGCGGCUCAACCCUAAAAUUGCAGUUGAAACUGGCAGUCUUGAGUACAGUAGAGGUGGGCGGAAUUCGUGGUGUAGCGGUGAAAUGCUUAGAUAUCACGAAGAACUCCGAUUGCGAAGGCAGUUCACUGGACUGCAACUGACACUGAGGCUCGAAAGUGUGGGUAUCAAACAGGAUUAGAUACCCCAGUAGUC
Molecule: ribosomal RNA, 460 nt
Filed under: uncultured bacterium
Lineage: Bacteria
Description: partial 16S ribosomal RNA
Rfam family: Bacterial small subunit ribosomal RNA
Source: RNAcentral